UCCCUCUCAGGGUCGCACCUGGAGAGUUUCCAGUACUCUAUCAGUCUCGGCUACAGGAGGGAGAGUCAAGCAGAAAGCUAUCCAUUCCAUUCCUAGCUUGGGCAGUGGCUAGCGAGUGGAAGGCAAUCUGCUAUGAGU
This 138-nucleotide small nucleolar RNA is filed under the name Ornithorhynchus anatinus (platypus). The record is from RNAcentral. Lineage: Eukaryota; Metazoa; Chordata; Mammalia; Monotremata; Ornithorhynchidae.